UACAGAGGGUGCGAGCGUUUAAUCGGAAUUACUGGGCGUAAAGCGCGCGUAGGCGGCUUUGCAAGUCGGGUGUGAAAUCCCCAGGCUUAACCUGGGAACUGCAUUCGAGACUGCAUUGCUAGAGUAUGGGAGAGGGAAGUGGAAUUUCCGGUGUAGCGGUGAAAUGCGUAGAUAUCGGAAGGAACAUCAGUGGCGAAAGCGACUUCCUGGACCAAUACUGACGCUCAUGUGCGAAAGCGUGGGGAGCAAACAGG
RNAcentral lists this ribosomal RNA (254 nucleotides) under uncultured bacterium. Its description in RNAcentral is "partial 16S ribosomal RNA". It matches the Rfam family "Bacterial small subunit ribosomal RNA", at positions 524 to 776 of the family's 1533-position model. The record is from RNAcentral.